Non-coding RNA from Podarcis lilfordi (Lilford's wall lizard), 73 nucleotides. Lineage: Eukaryota; Metazoa; Chordata; Lepidosauria; Squamata; Lacertidae. The record is from the annotation of a GenBank genome assembly.
GCACAGGUAGCUCCCUGGGUAGAGCAUGAGAUUCUUAAUCUCUGGGUCCUGGGUUCGAACCCCACCUUGGGCA